This 2429-nucleotide long non-coding RNA is filed under the name Zea mays. RNAcentral describes it as "long non-coding RNA (ZMAY_LNC002810)". Lineage: Eukaryota; Viridiplantae; Streptophyta; Magnoliopsida; Poales; Poaceae. The record is from RNAcentral.
UGCGCCGGGGUCGGGAGUUGACGCGUGAGCGAGUUGGGCCGUGGUUCUUGAUCCGGCCCACUAACCCCCCCUAACCCUAGCCGCCCCUUCCCCUAAUUCCCUUCCCCUUGUGCAGCCGCCCCCCCCUCUCUAGCCUUUGGCCGCCAUCCCCUCCCCCUAAUUCCCUCUCUCUUGUGCAGCAGCCCCCAUCCCCUCAACCCUAGCCGCCACCCCCCCCUCCCAUCUCCUCCUCUCCAAGUGAUGUCCUUCCUCGCCGGAUCUUCUUCGUGUGGGUGCAAGUUCCGAUUGGAGAAUUGGUGGGAGGAAGGAAGGAGGAAAGGAGGAACCCAAGGUGAUUUUGUGAUUAACUCUUGUUUAUUUGUGCUGCAAUUCAAUCGAUUAGAUGUUUACGUAUGCGAAUUGGUAGAGGUGCUGUCCAGAAAUUUUGUGGGUGCGCGAACAGCAGUAGUUCUAGCAGAUUCUGGGAAUUUUUCGUGGGUAAUUAGUGGGAAUCAGUGGGAGAAUCAUCUAGAGCUUUUUCAUACCUUUCCAAUGAGUACUUAUGCGCUCGAUUCGGAGUUAUAUUUUAGGAGAUAUCGCUGUUUGAUUCCGGGUAUGUUGCUGUCCAAAAAAAAAAACAGAUUUUGCAGGUGGGCAAACAGCAGUAGUAUUAGCAGUUUCUGGGGAUUUUUCGUGGGAACUUAGUGAUAAUCAAUAUGAGAAUCAUUUAGAGCUUUGUCAUACCUUUCCAACGAGUACUUAUGCACUCGAUUCGGAGUUAUAUUUUAGGAGAUAUUGCUGUUUGAAUCCGGGUAUGUUGCUGUCAAAAAAAAACAGAUUUAUGCAGGUGGGCGAACAGCAGUAGUAUUAGCAGUUUCUGGGAAUUUUUCGUGGGAAAUUGGUGAUAAUCAAUAUGAGAAUCAUGUAGAGCCUUGUCAUACCUUUCCAACGAGUACUUAUGCGUUUGAUUCGGAGUUAUAAUUUAGGAGAUAUCGCUGUUUGAAUCCGGUUAUGUUGCUGUCCAAAAACAGAUUGCAGGGUGUAUCUUGUAGACGAGUUUGGGCUAAUUAGAUGCUGGAAUUUAAUUAUCAUUUGAAUAUAAAACUUGUGAGAAAUUUUAUGUAGAUGCUUCCGUAGUUUUUGAUUGAUAUCACUGCUGUUAUAAUUUUAAAGUUAUGAAAUUAUCAAGCAGCACCGCUGCAGUUUGGUGGUGAUGGGGAGAGUUGUCGCUCGCAACGGGUUGGAAUUGUGCGUAGGUGCGGCGUUGUUUAUUAGCGUUUGUUAUGUUGAUUUGUACACUAAGGUGUGUGUCAAAAACAGGUGGUGGACUUCCGGAUCGUACUUAGUACCAUUCCAAAUUCCCGGUGAAGGCAAGUAAAUACAGUGGUGGUUGCUACCGUUUGGUUUGCAUCCUAUGCCUUGUCAUUGAGUAUGCAUAAGUAUUAAAUGUGUUAAUCAUUGAAUUCUAUGAUGAAGUUUAUUUGUUCAAAAGAAUUAAUUCUCAAUUGUCUAAUAUUGAGGAUGAUCAUGAUUUGGGAAUGAUAUAUGUGGUUGAUUCCCAUCUUAGAUGAAGUUGAAGUAUCUUUUUGAAUCAUGUUGUAUGAAGUGUUGUAGGCAUGUCAUGCACAUCGCAUCAUCCAUAUUGCAUUUUGAAGUUAUGUCGUGAUCUUAUGGUCCGACCGUACCGGUACACUUUUAGCAUCGUACGUUGCCCGAGGAGGGGUACGAUGCGGCUUCAUACCCUUAGAGGUAUGAAGGCAGAAGUCAUCCUUGCAUUUGCAGACAUUUGCACUCAUGAGGUAUAUAUGAAGUGUGACAUUACUAUGUUACUAUUGUGGUUUCUACCUGCGAGGUGUGGUAACUAGGUGUGUUGUACGUUGUAUUCGUGCUGCACCUUCGUAAUAAGAAGGUUGCGAAAUCAAAUGGUGGUAAAACAAUGUUCUUAUGUGGUUAAACAGUUUGUUAUUAUUUUACUUGCUGAGAUGUGUCAUCUCACUCUUGCAUUACUCAAUGCAGGUACUUGAUAUAUGUUGGGAAUGAGGGGAGUAGCAGCACGUCCACUUUCACUCUCAUAUUAAGGCUGCCCAAGCGCAUCCAUGAUUUAAUUAGAAACUUGAUGUCAAAGGAUGUUUUUUUACUAGUCAUGCGCACUGGUUAAUUCAGUUCAUGUCGUAUGUUUAACUUUCCUUUGCUAGCCGUUUAAUAAUACUUAGUAUGUUUUUUGUCAUGAUACAUGUUUAUACACUGUUGCCCCCUCCUUUAUGCUAUUUUGCAAAGGAGAUGCUGUCGAAAUUUUAUAUACGGAUGUCAGAAGUGUAGUUCAGUAGCAUUCCGGGGUGUUUGUGGAUUCCGGGAUGUUACACAAGGGCACAUUUCCCUUUCAAUCUCCCCCCUUUUGGUGAUUUAUGCCAACACAAUAAAAAGCAACUAAAGGAAGUGCAACAUCAAUA